UACGAAGGGGGCUAGCGUUGCUCGGAAUCACUGGGCGUAAAGGGUGCGUAGGCGGGUCUUUAAGUCGAGGGGUGAAAUCCUGGAGCUCAACUCCAGAACUCGCCUUUGAUACUGAAGAUCUUGAGUUCGGGGAGAGGUGAGUGGAACUGCGAGUGUAGAGGUGAAAUUCGUAGAUAUUCGCAAGAACACCAGUGGCGAAGGCGGCUCACUGGCCCGAUACUGACGCUGAUGCACGAAAGCGUGGGGAGCAAACAGG
Molecule: ribosomal RNA, 256 nt
Filed under: uncultured bacterium
Lineage: Bacteria
Description: partial 16S ribosomal RNA
Rfam family: Bacterial small subunit ribosomal RNA
Source: RNAcentral